GUGCCAGCCGCCGCGGUAAUACGAAGGGGGCUAGCGUUGUUCGGAACUACUGGGCGUAAAGCGCACGUAGGCCCAUAUUUAAGUCAGGGGUGAAAUCCCGCAGCUCAACUGCGGAACUGCCUUUGAUACUGGGUAUCUUGAGUAUGGAAGAGGUAAGUGGAAUUGCGAGUGUAGAGGUGAAAUUGCUAGAUAUUCGCAGGAACACCACUGGCGAAGGCGGCUUACUGGUCCAUUACUGACGCUGAGGUGCGAAACUGUGGGGAGCAAACAGGAUUAGAAACCCCAGUAGUCC
This 292-nucleotide ribosomal RNA is filed under the name uncultured prokaryote. RNAcentral describes it as "partial 16S ribosomal RNA". It matches the Rfam family "Bacterial small subunit ribosomal RNA", at positions 505 to 796 of the family's 1533-position model. The record is from RNAcentral.